RNAcentral lists this ribosomal RNA (274 nucleotides) under uncultured bacterium. Its description in RNAcentral is "partial 16S ribosomal RNA". It matches the Rfam family "Bacterial small subunit ribosomal RNA", at positions 523 to 796 of the family's 1533-position model. The record is from RNAcentral.
AUACAGAGGGUGCAAGCGUUAAUCGGAAUUACUGGGCGUAAAGCGCGCGUAGGUGGGUAUGCAAGUCAGAUGUGAAAGCCCCGGGCUCAACCUGGGAACUGCAUUCGAUACUGGCAGACUAGAGUAUAGUAGAGGCAAGUGGAAUUCCGGGUGUAGCGGUGAAAUGCGUAGAUAUCCGGAGGAACAUCAGUGGCGAAGGCGACUUGCUGGACUAAUACUGACGCUGAGGAGCGAAAGCGUGGGGAGCAAACGGGAUUAGAAACCCGGGUAGUCC